UUUUGAACAAGCGUAAACAACGACCCUUUCAGUAGAACAGAAAGGGGGCAGAAGAGGGUGGUGGAGUCAUUCAACACGGAAAAGACCUGUUUGGUUGGUAAAUUUCUUCAGUUCUAUUUAUAAAGUAAAUCUCCUUUUAGAUCUGUUCAUUUUCAAGACCUUCUUCACGAUCUCUCAAAACUGAGGGCAACAGCCAAACGAGUCACACUCCUUUCUACUCCAUCAAACGAUUUUUUUACCGAUCCGACACUCCUCCCUUACAGGUCCUGUUGGUGUAUCAUGUGCUAUGCUUAUGCGGCUGACUUAUCUACUGUAUGAUGAUAGUCAAUAAGUUUUCAUGGACAAUGCAAGAAUGGACUAGAAAACUCUGGCGUGAAGAGUAACUUGCUUAGAAUUUGUAGUGCAAGCAUGGUGCUUAACAAAGUUACAGAAAUUGUUUCCGCUGCAGUGGCUCGUUUCUCGAACACAAAGACGUCUAGCACUCCAUAUCCAUCAUCGGGGUUACCACCUCUUCCAGGUUCACUUACUAUUUCCAGCUUAGAUCAGAAGAACAAGUUGAGACUUUCCUCAUCCCUUCAAGAUCUUUCUGCAUAUCGGCGGCUUGAUCUGGAAGAUGGUGAUCUUAACUCUGAAAUAGAGAGGGGUUCAACUAAUUUAAAACGGCUAAAUCUUUUCAAGAGAGAAAAUUUGGGUACAAGCUUCUCCAAGGUGAAGGGGUCGCCAGCAGUCAAUUCUGCACGAACGAAAUGGAAGCGAGUUAUCUUAGUUCUCCUCUGCUUGCUAUUGGUUGCAUUUCUCCUAUAUAUGUUGUUUUUUUAUCUUAAUUUAUUCCACGGAGAGUCAAAGUUUUAUGUUGUGCUUGAUUGUGGUAGCACUGGGACUCGUGUUUAUGUAUAUCAAUCAUCCCCUAACUAUAAAAAAGAUAGCGAUCUCCCUAUUGUAUUGAGAUCACUGCCAGAGGGUUUCCAGAGAAACUCAAGAUUACAGAGUGGACGGGCUUACAACAGAAUGGAGACAGAACCUGGAUUUGACAAAUUGGUGCACAACACAUCUGGAUUGAGAAAAGCAAUCAAGCCACUAAUUAAGUGGGCAGUGAAGCAAAUCCCCAAGCAUGCGCAUAAAUCUACUUAUCUCUAUCUUUAUGCUACGGCUGGGGUCCGCAGGCUGCCAAAUUCAGAUUCAGAAUGGCUUCUCAACAAUGCUUGGUCCAUUUUAAAAAGUUCGCCUUUUAUGUGCAAGAGAGAAUGGGUCAAAACUAUCACUGGCAUGGAGGAAGCCUAUUAUGGAUGGAUAGCUAUGAAUUACCACACCGGUAUAUUGGGGGCAAAACCUAAAAAAGGAACAUUUGGUGCACUUGACUUAGGUGGCUCAUCGUUGCAGGUUACUUUUGAGAGCAAGGAAAAUCUCCCUGAUGAAACUAGCUUAGAGCUGAAUAUUGGUGCGGUUAAUCAUCAUCUUACUGCUUAUUCCUUAGCAGGAUAUGGCCUGAAUGAUGCUUUUGACAAGUCUGUAGUUCAGCUUCUCAAGAGGCUUCCCAAGAUCAGUAAUGCAGAUAUCACCAGUGGAAACAUUGAGAUCAAGCAUCCGUGUUUGAAUUCUGGUUACAAGGAGCAAUAUAUCUGUACUCAUUGUGUUUCCCUAUACCAAGAAGGUGGUAAUCCUACCACUGGGAGAGAAGUUUCUGGUAAAGGGGGGAAGCCUGGAGUUCGUGUUCAGCUUGUUGGAGCUCCAAAAUGGGAAGAAUGCAAUUCACUUGCAAAAGUUGCUGUCAAUUUGUCUGAAUGGUCUGGCAAAAAUCCAGGAAUUGAUUGUGAGUUGCAGCCCUGUGCUCUUGCAGAAAAUCUUCCUCGUCCUUAUGGCCAGUUCUAUGGUAUGUCUGGUUUUUACGUUGUAUAUCGUUUUUUCAACUUGACCCCUGAUGCUGCGCUGGAUGAUGUAUUAGAAAAGGGUCAGGAAUUUUGUGAGAAGACUUGGGAUGUCGCAAAGACUAGUGUUGCACCUCAGCCUUUCAUAGAACAGUAUUGCUUCAGGGCACCAUAUGUUGUCUUUUUGUUGAGAGAAGGCUUGCACAUUACUGAUAGUCAGGUAACCAUUGGUUCUGGAAGUAUUACUUGGACGCUAGGUGUUGCACUGUUGGAAGCUGGAAAGGCAGUUUCAACUGGGGUGGAACUUAUUAGUUACAAGCUAUUGCUCAUGAAGAUGCACCCAAUUAUUCUUUUUGCUAUUUUGUUUGCUUCAUUAGCUGUUCUUCUUUGUGCAUUAUCAUGUGUUGGGAAGUGGAUGCCCAGGUUCUUCCGUAGGCAAUAUCUUCCCCUUUUUGGGAAUAAUAGUGCUUCAUCCACAUCUAUAAUCAACAUUCCAGCUCCUUUCAGUUUCAGGCGGUGGAGUCCUGUUAUUACAGGUGAAGGAAGAGUGAAAAUGCCACUCAGUCCAACAGUUGCUAAUACACAACAGAGACCAUUUGACACUGGGCAUGGUUUCGGUGGCAAUGGUAUCCAGCUCACUGAAUCUUCUUUAUAUUCAUCGUCUAGUAGUGUGGCACAUAGUUUUUCAUCAGGGAGCUUGGGUCAGAUGCAAUUUGAAAGUAGUAGCACGGGUUCCUUCUGGUCCCCACACAGAAGCCAACAACGUCUCCAGAGCAGGAGAUCCCAAUCACGAGAAGAUCUUAUUUCUUCACUGGCUGAAGUGCCCUUGCCUCCAAAGGUCUAAAUCUGAUGGUAAUAUUGCUCAUUGAAGAGAAAAUCAUGGGGCUGAUGAUUGCUAAUGGCUCAUUAGCCAAAUUGCUAAUUACCUUCAGCUAUGAAUCUCAUGAUAUACUCCUGUCCUACGUUCUCCUUUAGAGGCACCAUAAUGAGGCUACUACUUAUUCAUCUGACAUUACAUAGAAUAGAGUCAUGACACAGACAUUAUCAGCGAAGAGAAGUCUGGCCUCACUAAGCCAGGCGACUGUGCAGAACAGCAGGGAACUUGUUACUAUGAGGAGCUUGACAAAGAUUUGCAUCCUGUGAAUACUGGGGAUACUAAUGAACUCCGACUAUGAUUCCAACUUGAUAGUCCAAAGUUUCACAUGAUUUGAAUGGAGGAGAUUCUCUAAAUACGGUCCUUUUAUGUGAAUGAGGUAGCCGGCUUGUAAAUGGUCAAAUUUCAGAAUUCAACAUUUUCACAAGCAUUAUUCUGAUAUUAGGUGGAAUACAUAGCUAGCAUCGAAAAAGUCAUUGAGCUGUCUUACUUUAGAAAGGGAAGUUUGAGGGAAUCAGCAUGGAGAUGUAGAUGGUUUGUCCUGUACCAAAUUGGAGAAUUUGUUUGCAGGUUAUUGUCAUCGGUCCUACUUGACAAUGUCAGAUGUCUCGUAGCAGCUGCUCUCAUUUACGCGCCUUCUAAGAUUUCUUGCUUUACAAAAGGAGCGCUGCAGGGAAGGAAUCGGCUCCCUUUGGAGUGCCUGUGUUUUAAUCCCAGGUGAUAGAUUUACACACACAUAUAGAGAACUUCUGCAGAUCCUAUGAAUCCAAAACAGCCCCAGUUCUUCUCAGGGCCUAAAAAGGGCUAAGAGCAUAAGAAAAUCCUCUUUUACCUUUCACCAGAAGCACUAUACCAUCACCGACACAAGGUCAACUAGGUUAUGUACGUAACGGCAGGUAUCAUAUAUCCAUCUGUGUUACAUAUGAACCAACCCCACAUAGGCAAUGACCAGCUCACCUGCUUGCAUAUAAUAUCAGGCAUGUAACCCUGAAAAAACUAUUCAAUCUCCACCUAAACAAGAGCAGAAUUAGACAGAAUUAAAAUAUACAAAGCCGUUUUGCCUUUUCUUAAAUAUUUAUUGGAAAAGCUAACAGAUUUAAAAAGAAAAAGCAACCUAGCCCCGAUCUUAUACUCG
Nicotiana attenuata is the source of this 3874-nucleotide RNA transcript. It is a transcript of the gene named probable apyrase 7, with no coding region annotated. NCBI's taxonomy places the organism in Eukaryota, Viridiplantae, Streptophyta, Magnoliopsida, Solanales, Solanaceae. The record is from RefSeq and is a predicted model, not a curated record. The transcript has 4 exons.